Molecule: ribosomal RNA, 510 nt
Filed under: uncultured bacterium
Lineage: Bacteria
Description: partial 16S ribosomal RNA
Rfam family: Bacterial small subunit ribosomal RNA
Source: RNAcentral
GACGAACGCUGGCGGCGUGCUUAACACAUGCAAGUCGAACGAAGAGCGAUGGAAGCUUGCUUCUAUCAAUCUUAGUGGCGAACGGGUGAGUAACGCGUAAUCAACCUGCCCUUCAGAGGGGGACAACAGUGGGAAACGACUGCUAAUACCGCAUACGAUCUAAUCUCGGCAUCGAGGAUAGAUGAAAGGUGGCCUCUACAUGUAAGCUAUCACUGAAGGAGGGGAUUGCGUCUGAUUAGCUAGCUGGGGGGGUAACGGCCCACCAAGGCGAUGAUCAGUAGCCGGGCUGAGAGGAUGAACGGCCAAAUUGGGACUGGGACACGGCCCAGACUCCUACGGGAGGCAGCAGUGGGGAAUCUUCCGCAAUGGACGAAAGUCUGACGGAGCAACGCCGCGUGAGUGAUGACGGCCUUCGGGUUGUAAAGCUCUGUUAAUCGGGACGAAAGGCCUUCUUGCGAAUAGUGAGAAGGAUUGACGGUACCGGAAGAGAAAGCCACGGCUAACUACGUG